RNAcentral lists this ribosomal RNA (253 nucleotides) under uncultured bacterium. RNAcentral's name for it is "partial 16S ribosomal RNA". It matches the Rfam family "Bacterial small subunit ribosomal RNA", at positions 524 to 776 of the family's 1533-position model. The record is from RNAcentral.
UACGUAGGGUGCAAGCGUUGUCCGGAAUUAUUGGGCGUAAAGAGCUCGUAGGCGGUCUGUCGCGUCGGCUGUGAAAACCCGGGGCUCAACCCCGGGCCUGCAGUCGAUACGGGCAGACUAGAGUUCGGCAGGGGAGACUGGAAUUCCUGGUGUAGCGGUGAAAUGCGCAGAUAUCAGGAGGAACACCGGUGGCGAAGGCGGGUCUCUGGGCCAUAACUGACGCUGAGAAGCGAAAGCAUGGGGAGCGAACAGG